UCAUUAUCAACCAUCAAGCCUGGCUUGUCGUUGGACCCUCUUUGUUGCCCACGCGACAGGUCCGAAAGAUAAUGAACGGUGUCCUGCUGGCCCUAAAUGCAACGAGCUUUUUAUAGCACGCAUUUAGUGUUGGUAGGCCCGGUCUCAAUCCUUUUUCUAAAGUUGACCUCGGAUCAGGUAGGAAUACCCGCUGAACUUAA
This 200-nucleotide unclassified non-coding RNA is filed under the name soil metagenome. RNAcentral's name for it is "partial contains internal transcribed spacer 2 and large subunit ribosomal RNA". The record is from RNAcentral.